This 7178-nucleotide long non-coding RNA is filed under the name Zea mays. Its description in RNAcentral is "long non-coding RNA (ZMAY_LNC004004)". The record is from RNAcentral. Lineage: Eukaryota; Viridiplantae; Streptophyta; Magnoliopsida; Poales; Poaceae.
UUAAGUGUCACACCCGGCUUUAAGGAACAAAGUCAGGUGCAUCUCAUACAUGCGCCAAGAAGACAACAUAUAUAAUAACAGAGUGUAUAGAGAUAAAUGUCAUAAAACAUCAGAGUACUUAUUACAUAGCGGAAGUCUUAUUACAAAAUAAAAUAAUAAAGAUAAAGCGAACUAAGGAUCGUUGGCGCCAAUGUCGACCGAGACACGCCACCUAGAUCAGAUCGAACUCCUCAGUGUUAGGCGGCUCCUCUUCGACCACCUGCUCUUCUCCUGUGGGGGGGGGUGUGAGACAGCAAGAGUGAGCUCACAUACGUUCAUCGCUCAACAAGUUGUGGGGAAUAAUGUGGCAUGAACUCACAAAGGUGGGAGUUCAUGAAGUGUAAGGCUGAUCAAUGAAAUAAAGGCUGAAGCUGAGCAUUGCUUUUAUAAGUUGGUCAAAAUUUUAUUAGCAAUUACUAAGUGUAAGUAAAUACCAAACCUUAAUAAUAAUAAAGUAAUAAUAAAAUAAUCCCAAAUGCGAUGCAAAUGUCAAAUUAAAUUUAAGUUCCAUAAUUAAUCAUGUGAGGGUCCGAGCCGCUCAUGACCGUGAGCACGGCUAGUAUACUAGUUUUACACUCUGCAGAGGUUGCGCAUCUUUACCCACAAGUCGUGUAUCCCAUGUCGCCUGGGUUUGCAAGGCCCUUAGACACUACCGAGGUGAAUGGCUAGGGAUCCACUACGAGGCCUUUACAAAGUUCCACUAGCUUCCGAAAACCCGCUACAGUUUAUAGGAAGAUCCAGUACAGGGUUCCUGGCUGACAGCCAUCGCAGCAAAAUCAACCAGGGACCUCCCCGCACUGACCUCUCCCCUACUGCCCUUGCCCCUUUCGGGUAAGGUAGUCUUCCACUAGCUUUCCUAAUUAGUUAGCCAAGGGCGUCCCAUUAUACCCUUGUGGUAGCACUGUUUUCCCGGGUGGUCGCUCCAUGUUCCCAUUAAUUUAAUGAUCUUAACAUGAACAAUAAUAAUAACAAGUUAAUAACAGAAUAAUCAUGAAUAGUGUAUCUCCAUACCCAAUCCACAUAAAGCAAUAGCAAGUACUACCCAAAAAUAUUUCAGGGGUGAACAAGGUAUAGAGGUAAUCAAAACUGGGGUAACAUAAAGGCUCCCAUCAAAAUUAUCCUAUGCAGAUCAUUAAAAUUAAUAAGAACAUGGCUGGGAAAGUAAGUGAUCAAGGGCACAACUUGCCUUCAAUGAGCUCCUGCUCAGCUAUCUCUACUUGUUGAACCUCAGAAUCCAUAGUGGCUUGCUCGUCUACUCGCAUCAACACAAUACAUACAUAGUAUAGCAUAAAUUAACAUCACAUCAAACAUGUAAAUAAAAUAUACAGUAAAAAUCUAUACAUUAAAAUGAGACCAUAGGAACUGGAAUCAUUAAAUUUGGAAUUAUAGAUUUCAAGUUAUGAAUUUCCUAAGAUUUAAUGUGUUUGAGAUAGGAUUAAAUGAUAAAUUAAUUUUCUUACUGCUUUCAUGACCAAACAGAGACACUAAAUGAUAGAGAGUAUUAUUACAAAAUUUUAGAAAUUGGAAUGGUUCAAUUUGGACUAAAAAUGGAUUUUCUAUGAUUUAUACAAGUUCUAGGGUUUAUUUUCAUAUUAAAAAUCCAAUUUCUAAUCCAUUUAAUCGAUUUAAAACAAUUUCUGGAUCGGGCCUCGAUUUCCAGAGAAGUCAGGGGUUAAACCAGAGUUUUCCCCAAGACACAGCUUACUGUUACCGAGGAUGGCGGGUUGUUUUCAAAUAAACAGAGGGUCUCUUAUGAAAAAGUGCCUGGCCGAAGGGGUAUCGGCCAACGUGAGCCGCCCGAUCAUCUAUGGACGGCUUGGAUUAGGUUUCUUCUACAAGCAAACCGGUACGCACUUCAGGCCCUCGGAUCAAACCUCAACGCCCAUGAUUCUAAGUAACCUACAUUGAUUCACCGCCGACCGAUCGGAAUCGGACGACGUACGAUCCGCCCACCCGAUUCGGUACCUCUCUCCUAAUCUGGGUCGUCGAGCACUAGAUCAACGGAUCCGGUUAAUCUUCUUACUCCCAUUCAAUCCCGACGGCGGCGCAAGGAUUUUUGCGGCGAGCUCUCGCCGGCGCGAUGCGCAUUAGGCACAUACGAGCCUAACCAUCAAAUGUGGGUACAACAACGUCUAGUGGAUAUAAAGGCGAACAUGAGAAGAGGGGGCUCACCGGCGGUAGCGCUGCGUGGAGGUCAGACCACGGUGGGGGGGUCCUCUCGGCACAAACCCCCUGCUCCAGUGGGCAAUUCACGUCGCGCCAAGGUCCCGCGGGCGCCAAUCCCACCCUCGUUUGGAUCCACGCACCCGGCCGAAGGUCCCAGAGCACCCGUCGGAGGAAGAACAGGGAUGGAAGUCCCCUGCCCGUUUCCUGCGCGCUCUCCCUCUUCUAUCAAUGGCGUGCGCGGCUUCCUGCGUUUUCUCCCCCUACGUUGGUGGCGGUCGCGAGGUAGGAGAACAAGGAGGGAGAGGCGAGCCCGGACGUGCUACCUUUAAGGACGCAUGCGAGGCCGAGGUGCCUCAACGGCUUGCGCGAGAUCUCCGCGCUCCGCCAUGCACGGUGAGGUCGUUGGGAGAAGAAGCUGCCCUGACAGCGUGGUCCCGCGUGUCAGCGAGUGAGGAUCCCCGCAGUCUACCCGCAUGCGGGCGAGCCGCGAGCGGCAGGCCGGGGGACCGCGAUGUCGGUGCCCAGCGGGGGAUGGAGAACGCGCGUGACUGUGUCGUGGGUCCCCUGCGUAAGCGACUCAGGCGUAGUGGAAUGCUGGUCGGGCCGUGUGACUGCAGAGGCCAGUUGGGCCAGAAGGGUUGCAGCCGGCCCACUUACACUAAAUUUGUUUUAAUCUUUUCUUUCUAUCUCCCACCUUCUUUUCUUUAUUCCUAAAGUCAAUUUGAAUUCGAAUUUAACAUCAAACCUUGUGCAAAUUUAUUCUCAAAUCAUAUUGUGAAAUGAGAAAUACCAAUUUUAGAAAUAUAAUUACAUUAUUUAUAUUUUUGUAUCAUUUCUCUUCUUCUCAUUUUCAAAAACCCUAGGUUUAAUUUAGGGCUUAAUUCAACUUCUAGUAAUUAUUAUCUUAUUACCAUUAACAUUAUUAUUCUAUUUAAUGCACAAACAUAUAAACUCCAACAUGAUGCAUUCUUUUAUCAUUUGUUUGAAUUAAACUCUAAAUUUUGUGUAUGCUCUUUUUAUGAUGCAAAUGAGGCACAUCAAAUAAGGAAAACACUAUAUAUUCCUUGUACACAAUUUUGAGUAUUACAAAUCCUACCCCCCUUAAAAAUAAUCUCGUCCUCGAGAUUUAGGAGGAACGAGGGAAAAGAUGGGGAAAGUCUAUACGAAGCUCUUCUUCUCUUUCUCAAGUUGCUUCAUCUUCACUGUGUUGACUCCAUUGGACUUUGCACAUCUUUAUCACCUUAUUUCUCGUGACACGAGUCAGUGUAUCCAUAAUCUUUAUGGGGUACUCAGCAUAAGUUAGAUCACCUUGAACACUAAGGUCUUCCAUUGGUAACUGUUCUUCAGGCACCCUGAGACAUUUCUUCAGCUGAGAUACAUGAAAGACAUCGUGAACAUCCGCGAGAUGAUCCGGUAACUCCAAUUGGUAUGCAACCUCUCCCACUCGCUUUAAGAUUAAGAAGGGUCCAAUAAAGCGAGGGGACAACUUUCCUUUGACUUUGAACCUUCUCAUGCCCCGGAGUGGUGACACCUUCAAAUAGACAUAAUGUCCCUCUUUAAACUCAAGCAGUCUUCUCCGGGUAUCAGCAUAACUUUUCUGCCUGGAUUGUGCAGUUCUCAAAUUCUCCCUUAUUUGCUGAACUUGUUCCUCUGCUUCUUGUAUAAUCUCAGGUCCAAACAACUGCCUUUCACCAGUUUGAUUCCAAUACAAGGGAGUCCUGCACUUUCUGCCAUACAAAGCCUCAAACGGUGACAUCUUCAAGCUGGCCUGGUAGCUAUUAUUAUAUGAGAACUCCGCAUACGGCAAACUCUUAUCCCAACUACCACCAUGUUUAAGAGCACAAGCUCUUAACAUAUCUUCAAGCACUUGGUUAGUCCUCUCAGUCUGCCCAUCAGUCUGGGGAUGGUAAGCCGAACUGAAAUUCAAUCUUGUAUCCAAUGACUCGUGCAACUUCUUCCAAUACCGAGAGGUAAACUGUGAUCCUCGAUCAGACACGAUCUUCUUUGGCACACCAUGUAAGCAUACAAUCCGUGCCAUGUACAACUCUGCCAACUUGGCACCUGAAUACGUGGUCUUCACUGGAAUAAAGUGGGCUACCUUAGUUAGCCUGUCCACAAUCACCCAUAUAGAAUCAUAACCAGCAGACGUGCGGGGUAAUCCAACAAUGAAGUCCAUGCCAAUCUCUUCCCAUUUCCACUCAGGUAUCUUUAGUGGGUGCAGUAGUCCGGCUGGCCUCUGGUGUUCAGCCUUAACUCUUCGACACACAUCGCACAUAGCCACAUGUGCAGCCACAUCUCUCUUUAGUCCAUACCACCAAUACUUUUGCUUUAAAUCCUGAUACAUCUUAGUGCUCCCAGGGUGGAUAGAAUAAACUGAAUCAUGUGCCUCCUUCAAUAUGGUUUCCCGAAGACUAUCGAUAUCGGGAACACAGAUCCGAUUCUUGAACCAUAUCGUGCCUUGCUCAUCCUCUGUGAACUCUGGGCCUCUACCCUCUGUUAUCAGAUCCUUGAUCUCCUGGAUUUUGGCAUCACCAACCUGACCUUUACGAAUUUCUUGCUCCAAGGUAGGUUCCAAUUCAAUAGUAACUCCUUCCGUAUGUGUAACAAUUCCCAGGUUGAGCCUCUCAAAAUCUUUUGCUAAUUCAUCAGGUAGCUGGACAACGAAAGCGGAGUGAACAUGCUCCUUCCGACUCAAGGCAUCUGCAACCAAAUUUGCCUUGCCCGGGUGAUAGUGAAUCUCCAAAUCAUAAUCCUUAAUGAGCUCCAACCAACGGCGUUGCCUAAGGUUGAGGUCCUUCUGAGUAAAUAUGUACUUCAAGCUCUUAUGGUCCGUGUAUACUUGGCACUUAGUUCCCAUAAUGUAGUGUCUCCAAAUCUUAAGAGCAUGCACAACUACUGCCAGUUCCAAGUCAUGAGUGGGGUAGUUCAAUUCAUGUUUCCGCAACUGACAAGACGCAUAGGCGAUCACGUGUCCUUCUUGCAUGAGUACACAUCCCAAUCCUUGUCCACAUGCAUCACAAUAAAUGUCAAAUCCUUUCUGUAGAUCUGGCAUAACCAACACUGGAGGUGACAUCAAUCUCUCCUUCAAUUGAUCAAAGCUCUCUUGGCACUUCUCGUCCACUUAAACUCUCUUCCCUUCUCCAUAAGUGAGGUCGUGGGCUUAGCAAACUUAGAAAAUCCUUCAAUAAAUCUCCGAUAAUAUCCUGCGAGUCCCAAGAAACUCCGAAUCUCAGUAACUGUAGUGGGCACUCCCCACUCCAUUAUCUCCUUCACUUUAGCAGGAUCCACUGCCAUUCCUCCAUUAGAAAUAAUAUGACCAAGAAAUGGCACCUUGUCAAUCCAAAACUCGCACUUGCUGAACUUAGCGUAGAGUUGAUUAUCUCGCAGCUUCUGCAGCACCAACCUUAGAUGUUGUUCAUGAUCACUUUCAUUCUUAGAAUAGAUAAGAAUAUCGUCAAUGAACACCACGACGAAUCUGUCCAAAUACUCCAUAAACACCUUAUUCAUCAAAUUCAUGAAAUAUGCUGGUGCAUUGGUUAAACCAAACGACAUAACAGUAAACUCGUAUAAUCCAUAUCGGGUUGAGAAAGCUGUCUUAGGAAUAUCCGAUGGUCUAAUCCUCAUCUGAUGAUAACCCGGUCGGAGAUCAAUCUUCGACACCUCUCAUCUGACUAAAUCCUCAAUGCGGGGUAAUGGAUACUUGUUCUUCACAGUGUCAUCGUUAAGGGACCUUUAAUCCACGCACAUCCCUUGCAAUCCAUCUUUCUUCUGUACAAACAAAACUGGUGUUCUCCGAGGUGAAGACUCGGACGAAUGUACCCAGCCUCUUGUAACUCCGUCAACUGCUUCUUCAGUUCCUUCAACUCCUCUACGGACAUUCUAUAUGGCCGUUUAGAAAUAGGGGCGGUUCCAGGUAAGAGAUCAAUAACAAACUCAACUUCUCUAUCAGGUGGCAUCCCUGGUAACUCCUCUGGAAAGACAUCCGGAAAAUCCCUAACCACCCGGAUGUUGUCACCAACAAACUCCUCAGGCAUAAAGAACAUUGCACGCAUGGAUGAGGAGGUUACUGCAAUAUUAACUUGAAAUCUUUCUCCUUUAGUGGUAGUGAGCUCUAUGGUUCCUUUAGCACAGUAUAUAGACUGCCUUUGCCUUUUUUAACCAUGACAUACCAAGGAUCACGUCUAUAGUGCUCUCUUCUAACACUAUAGGGGUAGUCCAUCCGGGUUAGAAAUACAGGGUAGAAAGGAAGAAUUGUAGACAAGGCGAAUAAUUACGAGAAAUGUUACUGCGGGGGAUUUAUUAGCUAAGUAGAUUAGUGGGUCACCUACUAAAGCUAAUACAAUACCUUAUGGUGGUACAUGCUAAGAUGUCCAUAUAUAAUAUAUCAAUCAAUCAAAGAAGCAAAUCAGACAUUUAACAUCAGCACAAUUCAAACAACAUUUUAAAGAAAAUAGUUUUAAAUUUUGUCUUAGGUUCCCUAUCUCUUAAGAAUGUCAUAGGGGUAGGGAUUCCAAGGUGUGAAAUCCUUCUUGUCCUAGAAUAAAAAGAUAAGAAUGAUCAGAGUAGAACAGUAGAAGGUGAGACAGAAUCAAGAUAAGUAUAGAAUGAAUCAGAGUAAGGUAAGUAUAGAAUGAAUUAGAAUAAGAUAAGUGGGUAAGGGUUGUCCAUUUCUAUCUAGGUUUCGUCCUACAGUCAACAUUUCCUCUGAUACCACUUCUGUCACACCCGGCUUUAAGGAACAAAGUCAGGUGCAUCUCAUACAUGCGCCAAGAAGACAACAUAUAUAAUAACAGAGUGUAUAGAGAUAAAUGUCAUAAAACAUCAGAGUACUUAUUACAUAGCGGAAGUCUUAUUACAAAAUAAAAUAAUAAAGAUAAAGCGAACUAAGGAUCGUUGGCGCCAAUGUCGACCGAGACACGCCACCUAGAUCAGAUCGAACUCCUCAGUGUUAGGCGGCUCCUCUUCGACCACCU